RNAcentral lists this ribosomal RNA (278 nucleotides) under uncultured Eubacteriales bacterium. RNAcentral describes it as "uncultured Clostridiales bacterium partial 16S ribosomal RNA". It matches the Rfam family "Bacterial small subunit ribosomal RNA", at positions 524 to 802 of the family's 1533-position model. The record is from RNAcentral. Lineage: Bacteria; Bacillati; Bacillota; Clostridia; Eubacteriales.
UACGUAGGGGGCUAGCGUUGUCCGGAAUCACUGGGCGUAAAGGGUUCGCAGGCGGAAAUGCAAGUCAGAUGUAAAAGGCAGUAGCUUAACUACUGUAAGCAUUUGAAACUGCAUAUCUUGAGAAGAGUAGAGGUAAGUGGAAUUUUUAGUGUAGCGGUGAAAUGCGUAGAUAUUAAAAAGAAUACCGGUGGCGAAGGCGACUUACUGGGCUCAUUCUGACGCUGAGGAACGAAAGCGUGGGUAGCAAACAGGAUUAGAUACCCUGGUAGUCAAGGGCG